Molecule: ribosomal RNA, 375 nt
Filed under: uncultured bacterium
Lineage: Bacteria
Description: bacterial SSU rRNA
Rfam family: Bacterial small subunit ribosomal RNA
Source: RNAcentral
UACGUAGGGUGCAAGCGUUGUCCGGAAUUAUUGGGCGUAAAGAGCUCGUAGGCGGUUUGUCGCGUCUGCUGUGAAAUCUGGGGGCUCAACCCCCAGCCUGCAGUGGGUACGGGCAGACUAGAGUGCGGUAGGGGAGAUUGGAAUUCCUGGUGUAGCGGUGGAAUGCGCAGAUAUCAGGAGGAACACCGAUGGCGAAGGCAGAUCUCUGGGCCGUAACUGACGCUGAGGAGCGAAAGCAUGGGGAGCGAACAGGAUUAGAUACCCUGGUAGUCCAUGCCGUAAACGUUGGGAACUAGAUGUGGGGACCAUUCCACGGUCUCCGUGUCGCAGCUAACGCAUUAAGUUCCCCGCCUGGGGAGUACGGCCGCAAGGCUA